RNAcentral lists this ribosomal RNA (315 nucleotides) under uncultured eukaryote. RNAcentral's name for it is "partial 18S ribosomal RNA". It matches the Rfam family "Eukaryotic small subunit ribosomal RNA", at positions 1470 to 1796 of the family's 1831-position model. The record is from RNAcentral.
CCCUUAGACGUUCUGGGUCGCACGCGCGCUACACUGACCAGUGCAACAAGCAUCCGUCCUUGGCCGACAGGCCCGGGCAAUCUUUGAACGCUGGUCGUGAUGGGGAUAGACUUUUGCAAUUUUUGGUCUUCAACGAGGAAUUCCUAGUAAACGCAAGUCAUCAACUUGCAUUGAUUACGUCCCUGCCCUUUGUACACACCGCCCGUCGCACCUACCGAUUGAAUGGUCCGGUGAAGCCUCCGGAUUGGCGCGCACCCCGGUGCCGCCGAGAAGUUGGCUAAACCUUACCAUUUAGAGGAAGGUGAAGUCGUAACA